This 769-nucleotide ribosomal RNA is filed under the name Ilyoplax tansuiensis. Its description in RNAcentral is "partial 16S ribosomal RNA". The record is from RNAcentral. Lineage: Eukaryota; Metazoa; Arthropoda; Malacostraca; Decapoda; Dotillidae.
UGUAUUUAUUCUUGUUUAUCUCAGGUUAAAGAGUUUAAUUUGAAAAAUAAUUUAUUAUUUAAGUAAUUUUUAGUAAAAUAAUAAAAUAACUAUAGUUCAUUAGUACAGUGAUGGAAAUGUAAAUUAAUGCAAGUAAAGAAUGUUUAUAUUACUAUACCUUGUGUAUUAGGGAAACUCUAUAUAAAUUAAUGAUUUUAAAUGUCUCGAAAUAAAAACAGCUAAAUUUAUACUAUUGUGCUUGUCGAAUAAAGCUUUCAAAUAUAAAUUUAAAGGUGAAAUGUUAUUAGAGUUUUAUUAUAUCUAGUUUUUUUAGAAUAAAAUUUAAUUUUGAUUUUAAAUAUAAUAGAUUUAAAUUUUAACUGUAGGAGGGAGUAGCUUCUUACAGAUCUUUUUUAAUAGUUACAUAAAAAUAAAUUUUUUGAGACUAGGCUUAAAAGUAGCCAUGUUAAAAAAGUGUUAUUACUUAUUAAUAAUAAAAUUUUAUUUAAGAUAACUUUAAACAAGUACAAAACUUUUUUGUAAAAUAAAAUUAUAAAAGUGAUAAUGAAUUUAUUAGUAUAAUUAAUGUAAGCUAACUAAAAUAUAAUAACUAAGACGUUAAAAUAUUUAGUGUAAAAUAUAAAGGAACUCGGCAAAUAAUUUUUCUUGCCUGUUUAUCAAAAACAUGUCUAUUUGAAGAUAUAAAAAGUCUAAUCUGCCCACUGAAAUUAAUAUUAAAGGGCCGCAGUAUAUUGACUGUGCAAAGGUAGCAUAAUCGUUUGGUUUUUAA